Molecule: ribosomal RNA, 251 nt
Filed under: uncultured bacterium
Lineage: Bacteria
Description: partial 16S ribosomal RNA
Rfam family: Bacterial small subunit ribosomal RNA
Source: RNAcentral
UACGAAGGGGGCUAGCGUUGCUCGGAAUCACUGGGCGUAAAGGGCGCGUAGGCGGCCAUUCAAGUCGGGGGUGAAAGCCUGUGGCUCAACCCACAGAAUUGCCUUCGAUACUGUUUGGCUUGAGUAUGGCAGAGGUCAGUGGAACUGCGAGUGUAGAGGUGAAAUCGUAGAUAUUCGCAAGAACACCAGUGGCGAAGGCGGCUGACUGGGCCACUACUGACGCUGAGGCGCGAAAGCGUGGGAGCAACAGG